CCCGGAUUGAACGGCCUGUCUGAGCUCUUUUUCUGUUUUUCGGCGGCGGCUUUGCCGCCGCCGAAAAACAGAAAAAAGCGAGUAGUGAAAGCCGGAAAUGUG
This 102-nucleotide unclassified non-coding RNA is filed under the name Chryseobacterium takakiae. Its description in RNAcentral is "Flavo-1 RNA". The record is from RNAcentral. Lineage: Bacteria; Pseudomonadati; Bacteroidota; Flavobacteriia; Flavobacteriales; Weeksellaceae.